AUACGGAGGAUCCGAGCGUUAUCCGGAUUUAUUGGGUUUAAAAGGUGCGCAGGCGGCCAUUUAAGUCAGCGGUUAAAUCGUGGGGCUCAACCCCAUUCUGCCGUUGAUACUGGGUGGCUUGAUUGCGGUCGAGGUUGGCGGAAUUCGUUGUGUAGCGGUGAAAUGCAUAGAUAUGACGAAGAACACCGAUUGCGUAGGCAGCUGACCAGACCGCAAAUGACGCUCAUGCACGAAAGUGCGGGGAUCGAACAGGAUUAGAUACCCUGGUAGUCCGCACAGUAAACGAUGAAUACUUGUUUUCGGCGAUAUAAUGUCGGAGGCAAAGCGAAAGCGAUAAGUAUUCCACCUGGGGAGUACGCCGGCAACGGUGAAACUUAAAGGAAUUGACGGGG
Molecule: ribosomal RNA, 392 nt
Filed under: uncultured bacterium
Lineage: Bacteria
Description: partial 16S ribosomal RNA
Rfam family: Bacterial small subunit ribosomal RNA
Source: RNAcentral